Non-coding RNA from Galeopterus variegatus (Sunda flying lemur), 74 nucleotides. The record is from the annotation of a RefSeq genome assembly. NCBI's taxonomy places the organism in Eukaryota, Metazoa, Chordata, Mammalia, Dermoptera, Cynocephalidae.
GGCUGGUUAGCUCAGUUGGUUAGAGCGUGCUGCUGCUAACGCCAAGGUCCAAGGUUCAAUACCUAUACCAGCCA